This 372-nucleotide ribosomal RNA is filed under the name uncultured bacterium. RNAcentral's name for it is "bacterial SSU rRNA". It matches the Rfam family "Bacterial small subunit ribosomal RNA", at positions 524 to 898 of the family's 1533-position model. The record is from RNAcentral.
UACGGAGGAUGCGAGCGUUAUCCGGAUUUAUUGGGUUUAAAGGGUGCGUAGGCGGCCGAGUAAGUCAGCGGUGAAAUUUUGCAGCUUAACUGUAACAGUGCCGUUGAUACUGCAUGGCUAGGAUUUGGUUGCUGUGGGUGGAAUGUGUGGUGUAGCGGUGAAAUGCUUAGAUAUCACACAGAAUAUCGAUUGCGAAGGCAGCUCACAAAGCCAAGAUUGACGCUGAGGCACGAAAGUGUGGGGAUCAAACAGGGUUAGAUACCCUGGUAGUCCACACUGUAAACGAUGGAUACUAGCUGUUUGGUAGCAAUACUGAGUGGCUAAGCGAAAGUGAUAAGUAUCCCACCUGGGGAGUACGUUCGCAAGAAUGAA